Molecule: ribosomal RNA, 357 nt
Filed under: uncultured Planctomycetaceae bacterium
Lineage: Bacteria; Pseudomonadati; Planctomycetota; Planctomycetia; Planctomycetales; Planctomycetaceae
Description: bacterial SSU rRNA
Rfam family: Bacterial small subunit ribosomal RNA
Source: RNAcentral
AACGAACGUUGGCGGCCUGGAUUAGGCAUGCAAGUUGAGCGUACCCCGCAAGGGGGAGCAGCGUAAGGGGCAGUAAGGUAUGGGUACCUACCCGGGGAUCGGGCAUAGCCUGUCGAGAGACAGGGUAAUUCCCGAUGACGUCGCAAGACCAAAGCUCCGGCGUCCCCGGAGGGGCCCAUAUGGUAUUAGCUAGUUGGUGGGGUAACGGCCCACCAAGGCGAAGAUGCCUAGCGGGUGUGAGAGCACGACCCGCGCCACUGGCACUGAGACACUGGCCAGACACCUACGGGUGGCUGCAGUCGAGGAUCUUCGGCAAUGGGCGCAAGCCUGACCGAGCGAGGCCGCGUGGGCGAUGAA